Molecule: long non-coding RNA, 301 nt
Filed under: Eucalyptus grandis
Lineage: Eukaryota; Viridiplantae; Streptophyta; Magnoliopsida; Myrtales; Myrtaceae
Description: long non-coding RNA (EGRA_LNC001613)
Source: RNAcentral
UCCAAUCUACCCGUUGGACGGAAUCAAUCAAGAAGAUCAUCCGAGCUAUUUAAGGAAUCUGAUGAUAGCCCAUCAAUCCUGUUCGCCCAUACAAUCAGGAUCUCGGUUUCCAAGAAUAGAAUAAUCCAAGAUUAUUUCGUCGACCAUCGGAUCUUCAAUCGAUCUUAGAUAAGAAUUAAAGAAUCCGAAAUGAUUAUCCAACCAAAGAAUCUAUUCCAGAGGAUAGGAUCAAAUCCUCAAUCAUAAACCUCGACUUUGGAUUUCCUUCAACACUGGAUUAGAAAGACUGUCAGUGAGAAUA